Molecule: small nuclear RNA, 103 nt
Filed under: Caenorhabditis brenneri
Lineage: Eukaryota; Metazoa; Nematoda; Chromadorea; Rhabditida; Rhabditidae
Description: snRNA CBN34303
Source: RNAcentral
GGUUUAAUACCCCAAGUUUGAAGUGAACCCUGAUGAAUUGAAACCCAAAGAAAUUUGGCCGGUCAGCCAUUAAAUUUGGAACGUCUCCUUUAGGGGGGGCAAA